GUGAAUCAUCAAAUUUUUGAACGCAAAUUGCACUCUCUGCGAAGAGUAGGACUAUUUGAGGGUCAGCCCAAAAAAAAUCGACAUAGUUUCUGUGACGGGGUAACAUGGGUCGGAAAUGGGGUCAACGUAAACCUGUGGGUUUAGGCGGCUUAAAAUUUUCGUUACGAUUCCAAGAACGUUUCGAAGAUAUUAGUGUCUGAUACUAUUAAUGUAUCGAUCUUUAUUAGACGGUGCCGGUGCAUCGUACUUCGUCCAUAAAUGGUUCUUUA
Molecule: unclassified non-coding RNA, 269 nt
Filed under: Glomus sp.
Lineage: Eukaryota; Fungi; Glomeromycota; Glomeromycetes; Glomerales; Glomeraceae
Description: partial internal transcribed spacer 2
Source: RNAcentral